GCUCAGGAUGAACGCUAGCGGCAGGCCUAACACAUGCAAGUCGAGGGACCGGCGCACGGGUGCGUAACGCGUAUGUAACCUACCUAUAACAGGGGCAUAACACUGAGAAAUUGGUACUAAUUCCCCAUAAUGAAAAGUGGUUAUAGAUGGACAUGCGUUGUAUUAGCUAGUUGGUGAGGUAACGGCUCACCAAGGCAACGAUACAUAGGGGGACUGAGAGGUUAACCCCCCACACUGGUACUGAGACACGGACCAGACUCCUACGGGAGGCAGCAGUGAGGAAUAUUGGUCAAUGGACGCAAGUCUGAACCAGCCAUGCCGCGUGCAGGAAGACGGCUUAUGAGUUGUAAACUGCUUUUGUACGAGGGUAUGAAAGUAUCGUACGAAUAAGGAUCGGCUAACUCCGUGCCAGCAGCCGCGGUAAUACGGAGGAUUCAAGCGUUAUCCGGAUUUAUUGGGUUUAAAGGGUGCGUAGGCGGUUUGAUAAGUUAGAGGUGAAAUCCCGGGGCUUAACUCCGGAACUGCCUCUAAUACUGUUAGACUAGAGAGUAGUUGCGGUAGGCGGAAUGUAUGGUGUAGCGGUGAAAUGCUUAGAGAUCAUACAGAACACCGAUUGCGAAGGCAGCUUACCAAACUAUCUGACGUUGAGGCACGAAAGCGUGGGGAGCAAACAGGAUUAGAUACCCUGGUAGUCCACGCAGUAAACGAUGAUAACUCGUUGUCGGCGAGUCGGUGACUAAGCGAAAGCGAUAAGUUAUCCACCUGGGGAGUACGUUCGCAAGAAUGAAACUCAAAGGAAUUGACGGGGGCCCGCACAAGCGGAGGAACAUGUGGUUUAAUUCGAUGAUACGCGAGGAACCUUACCCGGGCUUGAAAGUACUAGGUGCUGCAUGGUUGUCGUCAGCUCGUGCCGUGAGGUGUCGGGUUAAGUCCCAUAACGAGCGCAACCCCUACCGUUAGUUGCCAUCAGCUGGGCACUCUGGCGGGACUGCCGGUGUAAGCCGGAGGAAGGUGGGGAUGACGUCAAAUCAGCACGGCCCUUACGUCCGGGGCUACACACGUGUUACAAUGGUAGGCAGAGGGUCGCUACUCCGUGAGGAGAUGCCAAUCUCGCCUAUCUCAGUUCGGAUGGAGGCUGAAACCCGCCUCCAGAAGUUGGAUUCGCUAGUAAUCGCGCAUCAGCCAUGGCGCGGUGAAUACGUUCCCGGGCCUUGUACACACCGCCCGUCAAGCCAUGGAAGCUGGGGGUGCCUGAAGUUCGUGCGACCUAGGGCAAAACCGGUAACUGGGGCUAAGUCGUAACA
RNAcentral lists this ribosomal RNA (1304 nucleotides) under Alistipes sp. RMA 9912. RNAcentral describes it as "bacterial SSU rRNA". It matches the Rfam family "Bacterial small subunit ribosomal RNA". RNAcentral also lists the same sequence under 2 other names. Lineage: Bacteria; Pseudomonadati; Bacteroidota; Bacteroidia; Bacteroidales; Rikenellaceae. The record is from RNAcentral.